CAAACAUAGUAGGUAUACUAAUGUCAAAAAAAAAUUACCUUCAAAAUGUAAGUAGUUUCAUAAAAUAUGGUCCAAUUAAUUGAUUAUUAAGUACUGUACAUACAUUGGGGGCUAUUGAUUUGGUCCAUUACACUAAGUCCAUUCCAGUAUAAUAGUUAUGCUUCAUCACUGAAUAGUAUUAUUUUCAUCAACUAUUUUGUACUUGUGAAUUGGAUUUUUGGAAAACAUUAGUAAAAUACCUUAUUGUUAAUUAACUUUGAUCGUAGUAUAAGACCUAUAAGAAUAUGAUUGAUAACUAAUAGAUACAUUUUUAUUGAGUUAUCGUGUUCCAAUCAUCACAUGUAUGGAAAUUAAAUAUGUAAACAUUUGUGUAUUCUAUAUUCACAGUUAAUUAUUUUAGUGCAAAUGAAUUCUUAUUACACUUAGUACAAAUAAUACCAACAUCAACAUUCUAAAAUAAUAUCAAUUUUAAUAUUUGAAACAACUAUGAAUGUAUUGAUGUAAUUAUUCAAAUUCAAAAAUCAAUACCUAUGUCGUCAUCACUAAUGUAUGUAAUGAAAAAACAUCAAAUUACUUAACAAGAAAAAUUUGCAAAGUAAAAUAUAAUGAAGAUUUCAAUUUAAUAACAAAAUAACAUUUUUGUUACAAUGAUAAUAUAAGCUAAGCGGUUGUCAACAUUGAAAUAUUUUUGGUGAUGUUGGACUUGUUUUCAAGUUUGUUCUAUAAUCAUUAAUCAAUAAGCAUAGUUAUACCUAUCAUACCCAGAGUAUGCAAAUUUAUGUGUACAUACAACCAUCAGAAGACUAUUAAUAGUAUCCAGUUCAUCUCAAAUAUAAAACAACAUAAAUCAAAUGUUUGAUUUUAUAAAAAAAAAAAAAAUGUAAAUGGUAAAUUAUAG
Molecule: long non-coding RNA, 898 nt
Filed under: Acyrthosiphon pisum (pea aphid)
Lineage: Eukaryota; Metazoa; Arthropoda; Insecta; Hemiptera; Aphididae
Description: uncharacterized LOC103307924, transcript variant X1
Source: RNAcentral